UACAGAGGGGGCAAGCGUUAUUCGGAAUUAUUGGGCGUAAAGGGCGCGUAGGCGGCCUGGCAAGUGGAAGGUGAAAUCCCUCGGCUUAACCGAGGAACUGCCCUCCAAACUGCUUGGCUUGAGUCCGGGAGAGGUGAGUGGAAUUCCCAGUGUAGCGGUGAAAUGCGUAGAGAUGUGGAGGAACACCAGUGGCGAAGGCGACUCUUUGGUCUGUAACUGACGCUGAGGCGCGAAAGCGUGGGGAGCAAACAGG
RNAcentral lists this ribosomal RNA (253 nucleotides) under uncultured bacterium. RNAcentral describes it as "partial 16S ribosomal RNA". It matches the Rfam family "Bacterial small subunit ribosomal RNA", at positions 524 to 776 of the family's 1533-position model. The record is from RNAcentral.